RNAcentral lists this non-coding RNA (81 nucleotides) under Gorillibacterium timonense. Its description in RNAcentral is "Cyclic di-GMP-I riboswitch". It matches the Rfam family "c-di-GMP-I riboswitch aptamer". Rfam says of the family: GEMM was predicted in a large-scale screen for bacterial structured RNA regulatory elements. Genes associated with GEMM are involved in a diverse array of functions, including chemotaxis regulation, signal transduction, secretion and chitin. Lineage: Bacteria; Bacillati; Bacillota; Bacilli; Caryophanales; Paenibacillaceae. The record is from RNAcentral.
AGUUAAAGGCAAACCUAGCUGAAAAGCAGGGACGCAAAGUCACAGGUCUACGGUACCCCAUACUAGGACGGCUGGACUGCC